This 366-nucleotide unclassified non-coding RNA is filed under the name soil metagenome. Its description in RNAcentral is "partial contains 5.8S ribosomal RNA, internal transcribed spacer 2, and large subunit ribosomal RNA". The stretch from base 1 to 120 matches the Rfam family "5.8S ribosomal RNA", at positions 35 to 154 of the family's 154-position model. The record is from RNAcentral.
GAUGAAGAACGUAGCGAAAUGCGAUAACUAAUGUGAAUUGCAGAAUUCCGUGAAUCAUCGAGUCUUUGAACGCACAUUGCGCCCCCUGGUAUUCCGGGGGGCAUGCCUGUCCGAGCGUCAUUACAACCCUCAAGCCCGGCUUGUGUAAUGGGCGGCCGUCUCUCCCCCCGGGGGGAGACGCCCCCGAAACUCAGUGGGGAUGUCGCGAUACCGAAGCCUCAGCUAAUGGGUAAACCACAGCUGCAAUGGCCGCGGCCGGCGUCCGCCUUCCACGGUCCGUCCGCCUAGCGCGGGCGGCCUUCUCAAGGUUGACCUCGGAUCAGGUAGGGAUACCCGCUGUACUUAAGCAUAUCAAUAAGCGGAGGA